Molecule: ribosomal RNA, 253 nt
Filed under: uncultured bacterium
Lineage: Bacteria
Description: partial 16S ribosomal RNA
Rfam family: Archaeal small subunit ribosomal RNA
Source: RNAcentral
UACCAGCACCCCGAGUGGUCGGGACGUUUAUUGGGCCUAAAGCAUCCGUAGCCGGUUCUACAAGUCUUCCGUUAAAUCCACCUGCUUAACAGAUGGGCUGCGGAAGAUACUAUAGAGCUAGGAGGCGGGGGAGGCAAGCGGUACUCGAUGGGUAGGGGUAAAAUCCGUUGAUCCAUUGAAGACCACCAGUGGCGAAGGCGGCUUGCCAGAACGCGCUCGACGGUGAGGGAUGAAAGCUGGGGGAGCAAACCGG